AUUGAACGCUGGCGGCAUGAUUUACACAUGCAAGUCGAACGGUAACAGGCCGCAAGGUGCUGACGAGUGGCGAACGGGUGAGUAAUGCAUCGGAACGUGCCCAGUCGUGGGGGAUAACUACUCGAAAGAGUAGCUAAUACCGCAUACGAUCUAUGGAUGAAAGCGGGGGACCGUAAGGCCUCGCGCGAUUGGAGCGGCCGAUGUCAGAUUAGGUAGUUGGUGGGGUAAAGGCUCACCAAGCCAACGAUCUGUAGCUGGUCUGAGAGGACGACCAGCCACACUGGGACUGAGACACGGCCCAGACUCCUACGGGAGGCAGCAGUGGGGAAUUUUGGACAAUGGGCGCAAGCCUGAUCCAGCAAUGCCGCGUGCAGGAAGAAGGCCUUCGGGUUGUAAACUGCUUUUGUACGGAACGAAACGGCUCUGGUUAAUACCCGGGGCUAAUGACGGUACCGUAAGAAUAAGCAUCGGCUAACUACGUG
This 482-nucleotide ribosomal RNA is filed under the name uncultured bacterium. RNAcentral describes it as "partial 16S ribosomal RNA". It matches the Rfam family "Bacterial small subunit ribosomal RNA", at positions 30 to 507 of the family's 1533-position model. The record is from RNAcentral.